Molecule: ribosomal RNA, 547 nt
Filed under: uncultured Glomus
Lineage: Eukaryota; Fungi; Glomeromycota; Glomeromycetes; Glomerales; Glomeraceae
Description: SSU rRNA
Rfam family: Eukaryotic small subunit ribosomal RNA
Source: RNAcentral
UUGGAGGGCAAGUCUGGUGCCAGCAGCCGCGGUAAUUCCAGCUCCAAUAGCGUAUAUUAAAGUUGCUGCAGUUAAAAAGCUCGUAGUUGAAUUUCGGGAUCAAUAUGUUGGUCGUGCCUCGGUACGUACUAGCUUAUUGGUUUCUCCCUUCUGACGAACCAUGAUGUCAUUUAUUUGGUGUUAUGGGAAAUCAGGACUGUUACUUUGAAAAAAUUAGAGUGUUUAAAGCAGGCUCACGCUUGAAUACAUUAGCAUGGAAUAAUGAAAUAGGACGUUUGAUUCUAUUUUGUUGGUUUCUAGGAUCGACGUAAUGAUUAAUAGGGAUAGUUGGGGGCAUUAGUAUUCAAUUGUCAGAGGUGAAAUUCUUGGAUUUAUUGAAGACUAACUACUGCGAAAGCAUUUGCCAAGGAUGUUUUCAUUAAUCAAGAACGAAAGUUAGGGGAUCGAAGACGAUCAGAUACCGUCGUAGUCUUAACCAUAAACUAUGCCGACUAGGGAUCGGAUGAUGUUAAUUUUUUAAUGACUCAUUCGGCGCCUUACGGGAAAC